This 256-nucleotide ribosomal RNA is filed under the name uncultured bacterium. Its description in RNAcentral is "partial 16S ribosomal RNA". It matches the Rfam family "Bacterial small subunit ribosomal RNA", at positions 524 to 776 of the family's 1533-position model. The record is from RNAcentral.
UACGGAGGGUGCGAGCGUUGUCCGGAAUCAUUGGGCGUAAAGGGCGCGUAGGUGGCCACUUCAAGCGUGCGGUGAAAGUCGGGGGCUCAACCCCUGAUCGGCCGUGCGAACUGGGGGGCUGGAGCACUGUAGAGGCAGGCGGAAUUCCGGGUGUAGCGGUGGAAUGCGUAGAGAUCCGGAAGAACACCGGUGGCGAAGGCGGCCUGCUGGGCAGUUUUGCUGACACUGAGGCGCGACAGCGUGGGGAGCGAACAGG